Long non-coding RNA from Oncorhynchus tshawytscha (Chinook salmon), 1801 nucleotides. Lineage: Eukaryota; Metazoa; Chordata; Actinopteri; Salmoniformes; Salmonidae. The record is from Ensembl.
CCUCAGAGAAGAAGAAGAAAAAGAUGCCCAUGUGGUGUUCUGUGCUAAAAUGUGUUAUCUUUCACCGUUCUACCUACCAGUGAUUCACCCCUAUUCUGAGUUGUGGCUAUCAAGAAUGAUAUGGUGUUCAAAGAUUAUCAGAGGGAUUUUCAGGCAGAACUGAUGGGGAAUCCAUUUUGUCGACAGCAGAGUUUUCGUCGACAUUGCUAGUUUUUUCCUUCACAACAAAAUGGAAGAUUCUCAAUUCAAGAGGACCUGAGCCCUAGGACCAUGCCUCAGGACUACCUAACAUGAUAACUCCUUGCUGUUCCCAGUCCAUCUGGCCGUGCUGCUGCUCCAGUUUCAACUGUUCUGCCUACGGCUAUGGAACCCUGACCUGUUCACCGGAAGGGGUACCUGUCCCAGACCUGCUGUUUUCAGACAGCAAGAGUGGUAGAGAUACUCUGAAUGAUUGGCUAUGAAAAGCCAACUGAAAUUUACUCCUGAGCUGCUGACCUGUUGCACCCUCGACAACCAGUGUGAUUAUUAUUGUUUGACCCUGCUGGUCCUCUAUUAACAUUUGAACAUCUUGGCCAUGUUCUGUUAUAAUCUCCACCUGGCACAGCCAGAAGAGGACUGGCUACCCCUCAUAGGCUGGUUCCUCUCUAGGUUUCUUCCUAGGUUCUGGCCUUUCUAGGGAGUUUUUCCUAGCCACCGUGCUUCUACACUUGCAUUGCUUGCUGUUUGGGGUUUUAGGCUGGGUUUCUGUACAGCACUUUGUGACCACAGCUGAUGUAAGAAGGGAUUUAUAAAUACAUUUGAUUUAUUGAUUGAUACAUGGGGCGGCAGGUAGCCUAGUGGUUAGAGCAUUAGACUAGUAAUCGAAAGGUUGCAAGAUUGCUGAGCUGACAUGGUAAAAAUAUGUUGUUCUGAACAAGGUAGUUAACCCACUGUUCCUAGGCUGUCAUUGAAAAUAAGAAUUUGUUCUUAACUGACUUGCCUAGUUAAAUAAAUUAACAUGGAACCCUAAAGGGUUCCCCUAUGGGGACAGAUGAAGAACCCUUUUAGGUUCUAGAUGCAAUAGCACCUCUUUUCCUAAGAAUGUAAAGUCAUUCACAAUGCUAUUGAUAUGGUAUGAUUCAAGAAAUAAGUAAUAUCAUCUACAGUGUGUCCAAGCAGGAAUGCAUGAUAACGGUAUUUUGAUGUGCAACACCUAGACCAUUUUGGGUUGACAAUUAGACUAUUGUUGCUAUAGUUUUACUGUUAAAAUAUGAAUUACAGAUGUAUUUUGUUCAAUUUAGAUUAAUUUGCUUACAUGUUGUUGUAUACAAAUAUCACAUAGGCUAACUCACUUGGGGCUAAUCACUGAGGAAGGUGAAACUCUAAACCUAAACCACAACAGCCUACUGUUUUUUCACAUGAUUGUCUUUUUAAAUGUUGUGCAAUAAGAAUACAUUUUUCUCUUCUUCCCGUUCUCUCCAUCUUCUCUCUAUCUCCAUUUCUCUCCAUCUUCUCUCUAUCUCCAUUUCUCUCCAUCUGGAAUUCGGAUGCUACUGUUUGACCAAAUCAUGGUUUUAGCUGUCACCAAAAACCAAUGUUUUGAGUAAAGUGACCAGCUAGAAUUUUCUACCAGCUCUCACAGUCUCACGUCAGAAUUAGACGUUCAUCCAUGUUUCGCAAAGGUCAACUUUCAAAGUGUUUAAGGUUAAGUUUAGGCAUGAACUCCAAAUUUGUAAGGUUAGGGUUAACUUGUUGGGGAUAGGGGGCAGUAUUUUCACUUUGGAUGAAUUCCCUGCGCCACCUUUUCAGCUGAACAGGGGGG